AUGUUGACGCCGAAGAGGCGGACGAGGGCAAUGUUGACGCCGAAGAGGCGGACGAAGCCACGAAUCCCAUUCCCUUGCUCCGGCGUAGCCAUGCCCGGAGCGGAGCUGCUGAUGUUAGCAGGAGGGGCACGGGAUGACGAGCCCGGAGCGGAGCUGCUGAUGUUAGCAGAUGAGGCGGAACUGCUGAGGUUAGCAGGAGGGGCGGAGCUGCUGAUGUUACGAGGAAGGGCGCGGGAUGAGGAGCCCGGAGCAGAGCUGAUGAUUUUAGCAGGAGGGGCACGGGAUGAGGAGCCCAGAGCGGAGCUGGUGAUUUUAACAGGAGGGGCACGGAAUGAGGAGCCCUGA
This 345-nucleotide ribosomal RNA is filed under the name Triticum aestivum (bread wheat). RNAcentral's name for it is "partial small subunit ribosomal RNA". Lineage: Eukaryota; Viridiplantae; Streptophyta; Magnoliopsida; Poales; Poaceae. The record is from RNAcentral.